GAUGUCCUCUGCAGAUUUAAAAUGUGUGCCUUCUUUUCCGUCACCAAGUCAUCCCUGGGUUACUACUGAACAUCCUUCUCAAUUCCCCCCGACCCAUGGAUGGCUGUUCUCCAUUGUCUGUUUCACCAGAUGUCCUCAAAACAAACAGACAGAAGAAGGAAGUGGCUAAUGGAGCUGUGGAGUCCAAGUGUGACUGCCAAGAGGAAUCCAGCAAAGCCAAAAAGCCCAAGCAUGUAGCCCUGCCCGAAGCACGCCACACGCAUGGAAAACCCAGAGGAAAUGAGUGAGGAUCAAUGGGAAGAAGAGAGCCAGCCAGGUUCGAUGCCUUCUCCAUCCGUCAGUGAGGGUGUGGAGAGCCUGCAGGCGUGUGCCUCCCUCUGUAACUUGCUAUUCCUUGUGUAAUGUCAAGUGGAAGUGUGAAGCACCACAAACUGCUCUGAGCAGAGCCCACUUCCCUUCACCCACGGAGAGCGUGAAGCAGUUACACCAACAUCAAUCAAGGAAAACCCACAGGCUGAGCUCACACGGUUGAAGCAGGAAGUUGAAGAUUUGUCCAGGAGCAGAUAGCUGAAGAGAGAGAGAGAGAAGAGAGAACGGCUUACAGCUCAGGUCCUCUCUCCAUGCUUAGGAACCACUACAAAUGCUACUGCCUUGAGUCUCAUUUUGUUUCCCUCUGGAAACCACAUGUGUACCUUGUUUGCAACAGUAUGGG
RNAcentral lists this long non-coding RNA (712 nucleotides) under Homo sapiens (human). RNAcentral describes it as "non-protein coding CASC15:14". Lineage: Eukaryota; Metazoa; Chordata; Mammalia; Primates; Hominidae. The record is from RNAcentral.